RNAcentral lists this ribosomal RNA (255 nucleotides) under uncultured bacterium. Its description in RNAcentral is "partial 16S ribosomal RNA". It matches the Rfam family "Bacterial small subunit ribosomal RNA", at positions 524 to 776 of the family's 1533-position model. The record is from RNAcentral.
UACGUAGGAUCCAAGCGUUAUCCGGAGUGACUGGGCGUAAAGAGUUGCGUAGGUGGUUAGUAAAGCGAAUAGUGAAACCUGGUGCCUCAACCAUACAGACUAUUAUUCGAACUCACUAACUCGAGAGUAGCAGAGGUAACUGGAAUUUCUUGUGUAGGAGUGAAAUCCGUAGAUAUAAGAAGGAACACCAAUGGCGUAGGCAGGUUACUGGGCUAUUUCUGACACUGAGGCACGAAAGCGUGGGGAGCGAACCGG